Molecule: ribosomal RNA, 506 nt
Filed under: uncultured bacterium
Lineage: Bacteria
Description: partial 16S ribosomal RNA
Rfam family: Bacterial small subunit ribosomal RNA
Source: RNAcentral
AGUGAACGCUGGCGGUAGGCCUAACACAUGCAAGUCGAACGGCAGCACAGGAGAGCUUGCUCUCUGGGUGGCGAGUGGCGGACGGGUGAGGAAUACAUCGGAAUCUACUCUGUCGUGGGGGAUAACGUAGGGAAACUUACGCUAAUACCGCAUACGACCUACGGGUGAAAGCAGGGGACCUUCGGGCCUUGCGCGAUUGAAUGAGCCGAUGUCGGAUUAGCUAGUUGGCGGGGUAAAGGCCCACCAAGGCGACGAUCCGUAGCUGGUCUGAGAGGAUGAUCAGCCAAACUGGAACGGAGACACGGUCCAGAGUCCUACGGGAGGCAGCAUUGGGGAAUAUUGGACAAUGGGCGCAAGCCUGAUCCAGCCAUACCGCGUGGGUGAAGAAGGCCUUCGGGUUGUAAAGCCCUUUUGUUGGGAAAGAAAUCCAGCUGGCUAAUACCCGGUUGGGAUGACGGUACCCAAAGAAUAAGCACCGGCUAACUUCGUGCCAGCAGCCGCCGUAA